This 239-nucleotide ribosomal RNA is filed under the name uncultured bacterium. RNAcentral describes it as "partial 16S ribosomal RNA". It matches the Rfam family "Bacterial small subunit ribosomal RNA", at positions 67 to 334 of the family's 1533-position model. The record is from RNAcentral.
CGAACACUUCGGUGUUAGUGGCGCACGGGUGCGUAACGCGUGGGAAUCUACCCUUGGGUUCGGAAUAACAGUUAGAAAUGACUGCUAAUACCGGAUGAUGACGUAAGUCCAAAGAUUUAUCGCCCAAGGAUGAGCCCGCGUAAGAUUAGCUAGUUGGUAAGGUAAAGGCUUACCAAGGCUACGAUCUUUAGCUGGUCUGAGAGGAUGAUCAGCCACACUGGGACUGAGACACGGCCCAG